RNAcentral lists this ribosomal RNA (545 nucleotides) under uncultured bacterium. RNAcentral describes it as "bacterial SSU rRNA". It matches the Rfam family "Bacterial small subunit ribosomal RNA", at positions 776 to 1313 of the family's 1533-position model. The record is from RNAcentral.
AAAUAGAUACCCAGGUAGUCCACGCUGUAAACCGGUGGGUACUAGGUGUGGGGUCCAGUUCCACGGGUUCCGUGGCCGUAGCUAACGCUUUAAGUACCCCGCCUGGGGAGUACGGCCGCAAGGCUAAAACUCAAAGGAAUUGACGGGGCCCCGCACAAGCGGCGGAGCAUGCGGAUUAAUUCGAUGCAACGCGUAGAACCUUACCUGGGUUUGACAUGGAUCGGGAGUGCUCAGAGAUGGGUGUGCCUCUUUUGGGGUCGGUUCACAGGUGGUGCAUGGCUGUCGUCAGCUCGUGUCGUGAGAUGUUGGGUUAAGUCCCGCAACGAGCGCAACCCUUGUUCACUGUUGCCAGCACGUUAUGGUGGGGACUCAGUGGAGACCGCCGGGGUCAACUCGGAGGAAGGUGGGGAUGACGUCAAGGUCAUCAUGCCCCUUAUGUCCAGGGCUUCACGCAUGCUACAAUGGCUGGUACAGAGAGUGGCGAGCCUGUGAGGGUGAGCGAAUCUCGGAAAGCCGGUCUCAGUUCGGAUUGGGGUCUGCUAACG